Molecule: ribosomal RNA, 252 nt
Filed under: uncultured bacterium
Lineage: Bacteria
Description: partial 16S ribosomal RNA
Rfam family: Bacterial small subunit ribosomal RNA
Source: RNAcentral
UACGUAGGUGGCAAGCGUUGUCCGGAUUUACUGGGCGUAAAGAGCGCGCAGGCGGUCGAAUAAGUCGAAUGUGAAAGCCCCGGCUCAACUGGGGAGGGUCAUUCGAUACUGCUCGACUUGAAGGCAGGAGAGGGUAGUGGAAUUCUCGGUGUAGCGGUGAAAUGCGUAGAUAUCGAGAGGAACACCUGCGGCGAAGGCGGGUUGCUGGGCUGAUACUGACGCUGAGGCGCGAAAGCUAGGGGAGCGAACGGG